RNAcentral lists this long non-coding RNA (1362 nucleotides) under Elaeis guineensis (African oil palm). Its description in RNAcentral is "long non-coding RNA (EGUI_LNC004164)". The record is from RNAcentral. Lineage: Eukaryota; Viridiplantae; Streptophyta; Magnoliopsida; Arecales; Arecaceae.
UUAACCAAACGUGCAACAACAUAAGUAGACAUAUUGGACGUUAGUUUGUCUAAUUGCCUACAUUACAACCAUCCAACAUAAGUUCUCAGCAUAAAUCAGAACACGCUCCUAGGGAGCUCCACAGAAGCAAACUGCAGACAGAAACAGCAUGGCCGCCUCCACCAAGAUUGGCAGAGAAGCCGAUGAACAGCACCGAAGGAGUGGAUUCAACGAGGAGGAGGAGAAAGGCCGUCAUGAUGAAGAUGAUGAAUUUUUUGAGCUGGAUCUGGAGGUGUUGAACAGCAUCCCCGUGGCUAGCUACUACGAGCACCAUGCCACCACCAGAGAAGCUCUCCUGGCGAACUGCCUCCUCCCCAUCAAAUACGUAAGCAAGGCUAUUCCCACAGACAGGAACUCAUGCAUUCGCCCUCCCCCCAAGAGAUCAGUCAUCCACAGAGAGUACACCAUUGGUUCCCACCGAUGGAUGUUGGAAUGAGAGACGCAUGAAAAAUGAUUCAUGCAUUUGUUUGAAUAAAGAUAACAAAUAUGUACCCAAAAACAUUAGUAUUGGGCACUUACAGAGUCUUCUCUUUUUUUUUCCUUUUUUUUUAAGGGGAGUUAUGGUGCUUUGUUACAGAAAAGGCCUCCAAAAACAACUCAUGUGGUCAUGAUUUGUCUCACUCAAAAAGACCUCAAAAGCAAAUCACCUUUCUUGAGGAAAGUGAAGGUCUCUAUUCAGUAGGAUCUAUCUCCUUGUCUGGGAUUCUCAAGUGACAACACUAAUCCUACUCUGGAUUAGUCACCGUGAACAUCGGUGCAAUGGGGGUUCUUAUUAUUGUUGGUUUUCUUUUAAUGUUUGUAGACCAGUGAAGACAUGGUUGAAUGAACCAAUGGCAGCACCAAUAGUUCUCCUUUAGUAUGGUAGGAAAUAUGUAAUGUGAAACUCUCAAGUUUGUGUACAUCAGGCACAUCCAUUGUCCGUGUGUCCGCAAUUUUUUGUCUCGGCAUAUCCAUUUUUCCCCUCGCGCGAGGACAGAAGGGAGUUGAACGAACUUAGUUUUUCCUUUUGGGCCAAAAAAAAGGAGUAACUACAAAAAGUCGGUAGGCUGGUGCCGACUCUAUGGAAUCAUCACGGCCCACGAAAACCGAUCAUGCAAUGAUGUGUUUCAGUUUCAACGUCGAUGGCGUACCCUGCGGACAGAAAGAUACAUGGCUGUCAUCCUAUGCCACUAAAAAUGUUAUUUCACUUGAUAAAACCAACGCAUAUUUCUCCUUGGUGCACUCCUGUUGUUUCUUUCCUUGAGAUAACAGAGGACAUUUCCGAAAACUUUAUAUGUACACACACACAGCGAGAGAUGCAUUUCUGAGUGUGUAUGAGCGUGU